AUCAACAGAAGAAGCACCGGCUAACUACGUGCCAGCAGCCGCGGUAAUACGUAGGGUGCGAGCGUUAAUCGGAAUUACUGGGCGUAAAGGGUGCGCAGGCGGUUCUGUAAGUCAGAUGUGAAAUCCCCGGGCUUAACCUGGGAACUGCGUUUGAAACUACAGAGCUAGAGUGUGGCAGAGGGGGUGGAAUUCCAUGUGUAGCAGUGAAAUGCGUAGAGAUAUGGAAGAACAUCGAUGGCGAAGGCAGCCCCCUGGGUCAACACUGACGCUCAUGCACGAAAGCGUGGGGAGCAAACAGGAUUAGAUACCCUGGUAGUCCACGCCCUAAACUAUGUCAACUAGUUGUCGGGCCUUAUUAGGUUUGGUAACGUAGCUAACGCGUGAAGUUGACCGCCUGGGGAGUACGGUCGCAAGAUUAAAACUCAAAGGAAUUGACGGGGAC
RNAcentral lists this ribosomal RNA (442 nucleotides) under uncultured bacterium. Its description in RNAcentral is "bacterial SSU rRNA". It matches the Rfam family "Bacterial small subunit ribosomal RNA", at positions 477 to 920 of the family's 1533-position model. The record is from RNAcentral.